GACUCAGGGCAGCCCUGACCACAGUUCCGCCGCCAUCGGCCCUAGCCUGCGGAAUUGGGCUCGCCCCGGGACGAUAACAGAGCUCUGCCGGGGGCUGGAGGCACUGACCGGGUGACCAGAGACCCAGAGACCAGACCCCCUCCACGGCGCCCGGGAUUUCGGGGACGGCUUCUCCCAUCGCAAGUUUCAACAGAAAAUGAGAAAUAUCCCCCGACGAUUGGCUGAAAACAUGCAGCAACCACUAUUUUCUUCCUGCCCCUCGUUGAUGAGAGCAUUCGAAGUGACCUCAGCAGGGCAUCCAGAUCAAUUAUGCAGCUACAGCCAAAACCAAGUUCUUUUUAUUGCAAUGGUAAUGAAAGGAGCCCCGUGUAAGUCACUGGAAGGUCACAUGUUCACAGACUGUCAGCUGUGGAGGGUUAUGUAACAGUGGUUAUGCAAUGCCACGUUAGAACUACAGCCCGAGCAGCAAAACAUUUAGAUAAUUUUAUUGAAUUAAAAUAAGACUUCCACUCUCUUUGAAUGACAAAUCCCUUUUAACAAAACCAAGACUUGGGUUUUAAUGUUGACUCCCACACGAGGCUCCGUAAGCCACAUUUUACCUUCUAUGCGUGGCUGGCCCCAUUGAGUAGAUUUCUGAAAGUCAAAUUUCUGACAUGAGCCUAUUUGAAAACUUUGCUCAGUUGUCAUCUUCUAUCAGGAUGAGUUAUGGACGAAGCCCCCCAUAAAUCCUAAGGCACAUCUUGAAGCCCCUAAAAUCCAAAGGCAUGGCCGGGCUCACAUCUGUAAUCCCAGCACUUUGGGAGGCCAAGGCGGGUGGAUCACUUUGAGGUCAGGAGUUCGAGGCAAGCCUGGCCAACAUGGUGAAACCUCGUCUCUACUAAAAAUACAAAUAUUACCCGGGUGUGGUGGCACACUCCUGUAAUGCCAGCUACUUGGAGGCUGAGGCAGGAGAAUCACUUGAACGUGGGAGGUGGAGGUUGCAGUGAGCUGAGAUCACCCCACUGCAUUCCAGCCUGGAUGACAGAGUGAGACUCUCUCAAACAAAAACAAAAAAAAUCCUAAGGUACGUGAGUCUCCUUCACUAAUGUACUGUCUUUGUUCCAAGAUACUUCACCCCUUCGAAAGUUAACGGGGAAGAUCAAAAGGAGGUAUUAAGAGAUCAAAAUGAAAUAAAGGCUUCAUGCGUU
Homo sapiens (human) is the source of this 1187-nucleotide long non-coding RNA. Ensembl annotates it as small nucleolar RNA host gene 20. Its record names the gene SNHG20. Lineage: Eukaryota; Metazoa; Chordata; Mammalia; Primates; Hominidae. The record is from Ensembl.